RNAcentral lists this ribosomal RNA (300 nucleotides) under uncultured Thermovibrio sp. Its description in RNAcentral is "bacterial SSU rRNA". It matches the Rfam family "Bacterial small subunit ribosomal RNA", at positions 495 to 795 of the family's 1533-position model. The record is from RNAcentral. Lineage: Bacteria; Pseudomonadati; Aquificota; Aquificia; Desulfurobacteriales; Desulfurobacteriaceae.
CGCCAGCGACGUGGCAGCGUGGGCUGUAAUACGUGGGGGGCGAGCGUGGUGCGGGAUUACGGGGCGUAAAUGGGUCGUAGGGGGUUGUUGCGUUGUUCGUGAAAACGAGGGGCUUAACCUCUGGCGUGCGGGCGAUACGGGCAGACUGGAGUACUGCAGGGGAGACUGGAAUUCCUGGUGUAGCGGUGGAAUGCGCAGAUAUCAGGAGGAACACCGGUGGCGAAGGCGGGUCUCUGGGCAGUAACUGACGCUGAGGAGCGAAAGCGUGGGGAGCGAACAGGAUUAGAUACCCUAGUAGUC